Molecule: non-coding RNA, 1188 nt
Organism: Paramuricea clavata
Lineage: Eukaryota; Metazoa; Cnidaria; Anthozoa; Malacalcyonacea; Plexauridae
Source: the annotation of a GenBank genome assembly
UGCACUUUUGUUCAAAACAAUUUUAAGAACUUUUGUCCCAAGUUUUGAUUGGCUGAUCAAAGCGAUUAACGCAAGCGAACAAAAUUUUUCGACUUUCGGCGUCUUGUCACAGAAUAGAUACCAGGGCGCUUAUAUAUCGGGCGGCGAAACGCGCUGUCAAAGCGCUGAUCGAUGUGUGAUGCGGCAGAGGACUGGCGCGAGCGUGUGUUUUGAACGAAUUUGGGAAGGAGCGUGAUUUUGUAGUUUUGUCUUAGUGCGGCUUUUACUCCGGUUUUAUGAGAAGUUUCAAGGGUUUUUGAACCGACACUUUCGAAGCAAUGUUUCCUUUAACGUCUAAAGCCCUGAUCAAACGAGAACGCAAGUCAUCGCAAGUUACUUGCCCUGAAUUGCGAUGGGACCGAUCAAACGAUACGGAAGUUAUCGCAACAAUUUACAAUAUUUGGCCCGUGUGCCGGGUAAUUUUGUAAUUUUGCAAAAUUGUAUGGCCGUCAUUUAAACCCAUUUAAAACGAAUGCAAAACUUUUGAAAAUGCCAUGUAAAAUGAAGCGAAAGCUGCCAACAACACUGUGUUAUUUUCUCUACUUGCAUGAAACGUCGAAAAACAAGAGAAUGGAUUAAGCGAAGAUCAGAAAAAGGUCAUUUUUAUAACAUCUUAAGAGAGCAGAGGACUAGGGAGUAUGGUUUCCUUUGAUUUCUAUGGAAACUGGUCUCAAAAAACUUGUCUGAACUUGCAAUUCCCGAUCAAACGUAUCGCAAGUGCUCGCAAGUUUAAAAAAGCUUGCGAUGAAGUUUGAACCAGCUCAAAUCAUUCGCAAGUCAUCGCAAGUUAACGCAAGUCAACGCAAGUUGGUGGUCAAACGAGGCGCAAGCAAGUGCAACUUAAAACUUGCGAUGACUUGCGUUCUCGUUUGAUCAGGGCUUAAGAGCUUUUUGUGUUCGCCGGACUCUUCUUACGUUUGUUUUAUUGUGGAUAAACGUCGUCAAAAGUAGGGGUAUGAGGAGACAAGAAGUUCAACAAGGAAAUAUGACAAGUCAACUUGCUGCCCCACGUAAUAGUAUUUCAGGUAUGUUGAGCUUAUUAUUGUCUGUUCGUAUAUGGAGAUACUCGUAGAAAUCGGAGUUGAUGUUUUUUAGCUGCUUUGCUCUGAAUUCAUGCACUAUUUUCGCUAUAUUUUUUCAUCUUUGGAU